AAAGUGCGAUAUGUAGUGCGAUUUGCAUGAAUCUGUGAGUCAUCUAAUCUUUGAACGCAUCUUGCGCCCCUUCGGGGGCAUGUCUGUUUGAGUGCCAGAUACCUAAUGGCAAUGAUUUUGCGGACAGGCCAGUGAUGUUCGAUUUGUGGCAGCACUGGUCUAAAUUCAGCAGGUACAAAUGUGGUGGCUAGCAUAGGCUAGCUCAAGUGCUAAGCAUUCUUGGGCACUAUGGUGGUCAUAGAACAAGGGGGGUGGGCGGUGGUGAGCGGCAGGCAGGCUGCACGCCGGUUUGCUUGUUGCUUUCUUGCUGCUCGCUCCUCCUUUUUGAACUUUGGCCUCAAAUCAGGCAAGACUACCCGCUGAACUUAA
Molecule: unclassified non-coding RNA, 369 nt
Filed under: uncultured Rozellomycota
Lineage: Eukaryota; Fungi; Rozellomycota
Description: uncultured Cryptomycota sequence contains ITS1
Rfam family: 5.8S ribosomal RNA (bases 1-97)
Source: RNAcentral